This 1998-nucleotide long non-coding RNA is filed under the name Mus musculus (house mouse). RNAcentral describes it as "long non-coding RNA chr8:72492943-72494941". The record is from RNAcentral. Lineage: Eukaryota; Metazoa; Chordata; Mammalia; Rodentia; Muridae.
GUGGAAGCCGCGUGCCUGGGGCGUAGACAGGGCUUAGAUCUUUUAGAAGAAAAGAAACCGAUUGCGGUAAAUCCUCUGGACUACGCCGGGUCCUCGGAAGCUGUGCGGUAGGUGUCAAUUUCCCCUCACAGACCAACCGAGAGAAAUCCAGGGUUAAGUGUCUCCUGCGACAGUGUCUUAAGAGCUCAGCUGACCGGUACGAUGCUGGGCAAAACCACGAAGGCAGGACUAGACUUACAAAACUCGAUUCCCAAGAUCGUGUGCUUUUAAGUGAGGGAGAAUAGUUGUUCGCGCUCCUUAAAAUGUGUUCAUUUAUGGAGGCGGGCACGAGCGUGUGUAUACACAUAUUGAGGUCAGACGAGUUGAGUCUUUUGUCUCUUUUCUACCAUGUGCAUCCAGGAAAAGAAACUAACUCUGGCAGCAAGCGUUUAUUUGCUGAGCCAUCUCGCCAACCUCAAUAUUCUCCUUUACAGCGUCUCCUUGAAUGCCAGGGUGUCUUUCUACCUCACCUAUGUUUUGGUUUGCUUUUCUCUGUGUAACAGAUUCCUGGCUGUCAUGGACUCGAUUUGUAGAUUAGGCUAGCUUCGAACUCAGAGAUUUGCCUGCCUCCGCCUCCUGAGCACCAUGCGUAGCUACUCACCCGUUCUUCAAGGUAGACUGUGUUGUACCCUGGGGUUUGCUGGAUACUCAUCACACAUGUGGCAGUCCUUGUGGAUCUGAGUAGAAAAUGGCCUGGUCCCUCCCAAAGCAGGAGUUUAAGAAUAUGGUGAUAGGACGCUGGGCUUUGUACCCUAAGGCCUUUGUCACAAACUAAAUACAAGAGGAAUUAGGAUCUUUGGACAGAGCAGUGUCAGAUGGCCCCACUGAUGUGUUUUGGUUGCUUUUAUUUCAUAUUGGAUUUGGCCCUGGCAACUCUGGAAGCUUUUUCAUUUCACAACAGGUACAUGUACUCAGGGCAACCCAGCUGUGGUUUCACCUCCUCAAAUGGCCCUGUAAUGGGGAGUGGGGCCAUUCUGCAACAAACCUCAGAAAUUCCUACUGGCUCUGAAACGGGUUCUGGGUUGGCUUUGGUACCAACCAGACCAGGAGGUAUGUUCUAAGACUUAAACCAUGAAGCUGCUGUUUUAUGAAUAACUGUUAUCUUUGAAAUUAAGAAGAUAUGGAUGAGUGAAAAAAAAAUACUAGACACCUAAUCUUGGCUUAAUUGUGUAUGUGGGAGAGAGGGGGUAGAUCAUUACUAUAUAACGAAGGUGACAUCUUAGUGGACACCUGUCAGGUAUGGAGGCAGCCUUGGGUCUGCCUGCAGCUGCUAGCCCAGGGCUAGGGCCAGAAAAUAGUUAUGUACAUCUGGGCCAUGCAAUCUCCCUGAUGGGCAGGGAAGGUGUACACCAUGUCACUAAGAGGCUCCUCUAGGUGGGUGACCAAGGGGAUGUUGUUGACCAUGAAUCAAUGAAAAGCAGAUAGAGAGGCCCUGCCUGCCGCUACAAAAUAAAGCUAAAGGGAUGUCACCAAGGCUGGCAUAGUAGGUAUGGAUGUGGGCUCCAGGCACUUACCCCUGUAGGAAAGGCCAGAUUUAGCUAUACAUGUGCAAAUGAGAAAUGAUUCCAAAACUGGUUUGUGCAAAUAUUUUUUUUAUUUCCACAUUUAUAUCACAAGUUGUCCACUUACUGGACCAAAUAGCAAAGUUGCUCCCUUCUGCGCGAACACAGAAGUCUAGGUACUGUACAUUCACUAAGGCUCCUUGUUUUUGCAAAUCGCGUUUAUGACCAUAAGGCAAACGAAUCUAAAGGAAUGGUUAUGAGUGUUUCCAGCCAACAGACGGCUCUUCCCUAGCCCACCAGGGCAACUCACACCAGUAGCACCCUCGGGAACUUUGUGGGUUAAAGACUCUAGAAAGAUGGCAUUUUUCUAGAGUUGUGCAGAAAAGGAAAGAAGGGAAGGAAAAGUCAUUUGGCUGGUGGUAGGGGAAAAAAGAGAAUGAAAUAAAUGAGAAAACUC